This 510-nucleotide ribosomal RNA is filed under the name uncultured bacterium. Its description in RNAcentral is "partial 16S ribosomal RNA". It matches the Rfam family "Bacterial small subunit ribosomal RNA", at positions 28 to 507 of the family's 1533-position model. The record is from RNAcentral.
GACGAACGCUGGCGGCGUGCUUAACACAUGCAAGUCGAACGAAGAGCGAUGGAAGCUUGCUUCUAUCAAUCUUAGUGGCGAACGGGUGAGUAACGCGUAAUCAACCUGCCCUUCAGAGGGGGACAACAGUUGGAAACGACUGCUAAUACCGCAUACGAUCUAACCUCGGCAUCGAGGAUAGAUGAAAGGUGGCCUCUACAUGUAAGCUAUCACUGAAGGAGGGGAUUGCGUCUGAUUAGCUAGUUGGAGGGGUAACGGCCCACCAAGGCGAGGAUCAGUAGCCGGUCUGAGAGGAUGAACGGCCACAUUGGGACUGAGACACGGCCCAGACUCCUACGGGAGGCAGCAGUGGGGAAUCUUCCGCAAUGGACGAAAGUCUGACGGAGCAACGCCGCGUGAGGGAUGACGGCCUUCGGGUUGUAAAGCUCUGUUAAUCGGGACGAAAGGCCUUCUUGCGAAUAGUGAGAAGGAUUGACGGUACCGGAAUAGAAAGCCACGGCUAACUACGUG